This 293-nucleotide ribosomal RNA is filed under the name uncultured bacterium. RNAcentral describes it as "partial 16S ribosomal RNA". It matches the Rfam family "Archaeal small subunit ribosomal RNA", at positions 455 to 747 of the family's 1478-position model. The record is from RNAcentral.
GUGCCAGCAGCCGCGGUAAUACCGGCAGCCCGAGUGAUGGCCGAUCUUAUUGGGCCUAAAGCGUCCGUAGCUGGCCGCGCAAGUCCAUCGGAAAAUCCACCCGCCCAACGGGUGGGCGUCCGGUGGAAACUGUGUGGCUUGGGACCGGAAGGCGCGACGGGUACGUCCGGGGUAGGAGUGAAAUCCCGUAAUCCCGGACGGACCGCCGGUGGCGAAAGCGCCUCGGGAGGACGGAUCCGACGGUGAGGGACGAAAGCUAGGGUCUCGAACCGGAUUAGAUACCCCUGUAGUCC